Selaginella moellendorffii is the source of this 610-nucleotide long non-coding RNA. RefSeq lists it as uncharacterized. Lineage: Eukaryota; Viridiplantae; Streptophyta; Lycopodiopsida; Selaginellales; Selaginellaceae. The record is from RefSeq and is a predicted model, not a curated record. The transcript is spliced from 2 exons.
CAUGCUCUGGAGCUAAAUGCCGAUUCUUCUCGAAAGCAAGAAAGAUUGAUUCAAGGACCGAGCUCUACCAUACGGACGACUUACAAAUGCCUGAGUAAGCAGCGGAUCGUUAACUUUUAAAUGCUUGUCCAGCUCCCCAUGUAAGCCGUGAACACAACGAUCACAGAGCUUGAAAGGCAAAUCCUUUUCGAGCUUAUUCUUUCUGAUUUUGGUGCUUCUCUCAAUGUACUAGAGGACUACGCGCUACUGUACUAACUGUAGCGGCUGCAAAUGACGAAGUUUCCAUGGCCGUUGCUUAUGUACGAAUUGCGGUCCAGUCGGCUUACCAUCUGCGCCUCCCGUGUCACAGGGAGCCUUAAAUUAGAACCAACAAGAGUGAUGUUGCUGCAAGAGGCUCGAAAACCACCUUCUCUACCAUAAGCCAGGCUUCCUCUGAGAUUUGUGAGUGUGUUUGUUAUCGAGCAGUGUCCCUGGGGUGUCUCCAGAGCAGUCGGCUUCGAGAAUGUUGGUAUCGAGAAAGUAUUUGGGGUUCUUGCAGCUGUAGAAAAAGGCACCGCAGCACAACUGAUUGAAUGACAAACAAAAGAACGAUCACAAAGGUAUUUCUUCA